GAGGCACCGAUCACUGCUCCGUCGUCACCUGCGAGGCCCACCUUGGCCACAGGCUCUGGAGGCCAGUGCCU
This 71-nucleotide long non-coding RNA is filed under the name Cavia porcellus (domestic guinea pig). Its description in RNAcentral is "H19 conserved region 1 (ENSCPOG00000036994.1)". It matches the Rfam family "H19 conserved region 1". Lineage: Eukaryota; Metazoa; Chordata; Mammalia; Rodentia; Caviidae. RNAcentral also lists the same sequence under 1 other name. The record is from RNAcentral.